RNAcentral lists this unclassified non-coding RNA (1251 nucleotides) under Hevea brasiliensis (rubber tree). The record is from RNAcentral. Lineage: Eukaryota; Viridiplantae; Streptophyta; Magnoliopsida; Malpighiales; Euphorbiaceae.
UUUUAAACGAAGAGAGAUAAAUUAAUUAUAUAUAGUAGAUCAAAGAUUGUUACAAUUAUUAUGCUAUAAGAUGACAUCAACUUCAUAUUCCUUAUUGACCAAAGCCCAAUUCAGACAUUCUCCUGUCUCUCCAUUUAACCGAAUUCAGAGAACACAGAUAUAUAUUAAGAGCUUAAGACAUAUACAUACUGCCACUGGCAAAGAAAACAUAAGAAAUUAUAGGCGGAAGGAACCCACAACCAGAAUCAAGCAUUCACGAUGUAACCACCAUUAGGAUGUAAGACUUGGCCAGUGAUGUAGGAGGAACACUCAUUGGAAGCCAAGAAGACAUAAGAAGGUGCAAUCUCAUAAGGCUGUGCUGCCCUGUCCAUUGGUACCUCACUUCCUAAGGCUGCAAUCUUCUCAGCAGGCAAAGACGCCGGUUGCAGUGGCGUCCAGACAGGACCUGGCGCCACAGCAUUGACACGAAUUCCUUUGUCAAUAAGCUGCAGGGACAGACUCCUAGUGAAAGCUACAAUGGCUCCUUUAGUAGAGCUAUAGUCCAGCAACCCUGAAUAGCCAGCAUAGGCUACGACAGAUGUGGUGUUGAUGAUACAGCUCCCUUGUUUCAUGUGCUGUAAAGCAUACCUGCACCCAUUUGAGAUUGAAAAGGAUUAAUAAAUCCUGCUUGACCAGAAAUAAAUGAUUAUAUUUCAAUUUUCUUCAUUUACCUGGUCAUGAAGAACUGACCAAAAAUGUUGGUUCUAAACACCCUCUCAAGCCUUGUUUCAGUGAUAUCUUCAAUGGUGGUAGAAUAAUAUUGUUCAGCGGCAUUAUUCACCAGAAUAUCAAUGUGUCCGUAUUCAGCCAUAACUUGAUCAACAACACUCCUGCAAUUUUCUUCGAAUCCAACAUCAGUUGGUAUGGCAAUGGGGUCUUUUGCUCCUUCUGCCUUUGAUUCGCUUAAUAUCUUUAGCGUGUGAUCCGUGUCCAUAUCCUCUUGGCCUUUCACAUAUGUAAAGGCCACAGUUGCACCCUCUAAAGUAAAAUAGUAGGAUACAGCUCUUCCAAUACCAGAGUCGCCCCCUGUCACCAGAGCUACUUUUCCAAGGAGCUUGUUAGAGGGCUUGUAUUGAGGGUUUAAGAAUUCGGGAAGUGGGUGCAUAAGAUAUUCUUUCCCAGGCUGCCUGUCCUGAGUCUGCGGUGGAAAACGGAACCCACUUUGUGUGGCCAUUGAUCCUGCUGAGACUCAAACUCUGAAUUCUAGCCAGG